GACGAACGCUGGCGGCGCGCUUAACACAUGCAAGUCGAACGGAAAGGCCCUGCUUUUGUGGGGUGCUCGAGUGGCGAACGGGUGAGUAACACGUGAGUAACCUGCCCUUGACUUUGGGAUAACUUCAGGAAACUGGGGCUAAUACCGGAUAGGAGCUCCUGCUGCAUGGUGGGGGUUGGAAAGUUUCGGCGGUUGGGGAUGGACUCGCGGCUUAUCAGCUUGUUGGUGGGGUAGUGGCUUACCAAGGCUUUGACGGGUAGCCGGCCUGAGAGGGUGACCGGCCACAUUGGGACUGAGAUACGGCCCAGACUCCCACGGGAGGCAGCAGUGGGGAAUAUUGCACAAUGGGCGGAAGCCUGAUGCAGCAACGCCGCGUGCGGGAUGACGGCCUUCGGGUUGUAAACCGCUUUCGCCUGUGACGAAGCGUGAGUGACGGUAAUGGGUAAAGAAGCACCGGCUAACUACGUG
RNAcentral lists this ribosomal RNA (468 nucleotides) under uncultured bacterium. Its description in RNAcentral is "partial 16S ribosomal RNA". It matches the Rfam family "Bacterial small subunit ribosomal RNA", at positions 28 to 507 of the family's 1533-position model. The record is from RNAcentral.